CAUGUGCAUUCCCAAGGCGCUGCUGAAUGGAUGCCACCUUCAGUAAAGAAGAGUCAAUGGAUUCUUCCCAGUCUAGCCAAUGUGGACAAGAGAAAAUGACAGAGCUUUAACUGGCACUGGAGGACUUCUUGGCAUGCUUUGCAAAGGGACCCCUGCUUGUCCCUCCUGCAGGGCAUGCAGGCUGGGGUGGGUAGGAUGGAUGCCUGAGCACUUCCCAAUAAAGACUGAAAAUGUUUGCAAGCUACCUGAACACCUCACUCCCUGAGCGAUGAGACCCCACAUGAAGUUGGCACAGUAUUCACACCAGUGUGGACCUCGAAACGUGUGGACCUGCAACAUAAAGGAGGGAGAAAAAAAAGAAAUGGGGUCACUGGGAGGCAGAUGGUCUGACAGAUGGAACAACUAAACUGGAUAAACAACAGAAGACUCAGUAGGAGCAAAUCGUUACCACACAGUGCCCACAUCUUUCCAUAGUCUAGAUGAAAUAAACCACAGGCA
Molecule: long non-coding RNA, 498 nt
Filed under: Gallus gallus (chicken)
Lineage: Eukaryota; Metazoa; Chordata; Aves; Galliformes; Phasianidae
Description: long non-coding RNA NONGGAT003878
Source: RNAcentral